AUGGGAAACCGAUUUUGCUGCUCUUCGGUCAGGCGGCAGUACCCACCAAAGAAGGAGGGUAGCCCCCCUCCCCCGGCCGAGACAUGGUCGAGAUGCUCGACGGAGAGCGUCACGGCGACGCACAACUUCGAGGUGACCGGUUUCUCGUCGCUGGAGGGCAUAGGUGCCGGUAAGUUCCUCAGGUCGGGAAAGUUCACCGUCGGCGGCUGCGAGUGGGAUCUCCACUUAUACCCCGACGGAUGGAAGGAGGAGCACAAAUCUGUCUACGCGUCGGUCUUCCUGUCUCUCUGUGAAGGAGAAACCGGGACGUCAGGGGUGACGACCAAGUACACCUUGACAUUGCUGGACCAACAUGGUAGAGUAUCCAACCUUACUACCCAGGGAUCCCAAGGUAGCCUACAACAUACUUUCCAUAGUACCACCGGCUAUUGGGGCUUUGAAAAGUUUGUCGAGAAACCAAAGCUGCGACAGCUGCUUGCCCUCACCGGGGACUCCUUCACAGUCAGAUGUGUCUUGACUGUCAUCAAAAAGGGUCAGGCAGAAGAUGUGCACACGGCCGUCGCACCGCUCCCGCAGUCCAACCUGCACAAACACUUCCUAGAUAUGUUGAAGGGUGGGGAAGGCGCGGACGUGACCUUCACCGUCGCAGGCCAGUCGUUCCUCGCGCAUAGAUGUGUGCUCGCCGCAAGGUCCCCGUUGUUUAAGGCUGAGCUCUUUGGUAAGAUGAAUGAGACUCUGGCGCAGAGCAUCAAGAUCGAUGGCAUGGAACCCUCCAUCUUCGAGGCACUCCUUCACUUCAUCUACACGGAUUCUCUGUCGGAUGACCGGCAUGCGGAUGAUAGACACACGGAGAUGCAGCACCUGCUGGUUGCCGCGGAUCGAUACGGAGUCGAUAGGUUAAUGGCGAUAUGCGAAGGGAAAUUGUGUCGAAGCAUCGGCGUGCAAACCGUCGCAACGACCCUUGCUCUAGCGGAGCAACACCACUGCAUGCACCUGAAAAGGGCAUGUCUUGAAUUUUUGUCUUCCCGGGAUGUCCGCCAAGCUGUCAAAGAAACAUAUGGAUUCAAGCAUCUCGUAACAAGCUGCCCAUCGGUUAUUCUCGAGAUUUUCGACAAGCCUCCCCCACAAUCCUGA
This 1134-nucleotide ribosomal RNA is filed under the name Triticum aestivum (bread wheat). RNAcentral's name for it is "partial small subunit ribosomal RNA". Lineage: Eukaryota; Viridiplantae; Streptophyta; Magnoliopsida; Poales; Poaceae. The record is from RNAcentral.